UACGUAGGGCGCAAGCGUUGUCCGGAAUUAUUGGGCGUAAAGAGCUCGUAGGCGGUGUGUCACGUCGGCCGUGAAAACCUGGGGCUUAACUCUGGGCGUGCGGUCGAUACGGGCAUCACUAGAGUUCGGCAGGGGAGACUGGAAUUCCUGGUGUAGCGGUGAAAUGCGCAGAUAUCAGGAGGAACACCGGUGGCGAAGGCGGGACUCUGGGCCGAUACUGACGCUGAGGAGCGAAAGCGUGGGGAGCGAACAGG
RNAcentral lists this ribosomal RNA (254 nucleotides) under uncultured bacterium. Its description in RNAcentral is "partial 16S ribosomal RNA". It matches the Rfam family "Bacterial small subunit ribosomal RNA", at positions 524 to 776 of the family's 1533-position model. The record is from RNAcentral.